RNAcentral lists this transfer RNA (71 nucleotides) under Paludibacteraceae bacterium. Its description in RNAcentral is "tRNA-OTHER". It matches the Rfam family "tRNA". Rfam says of the family: Transfer RNA (tRNA) molecules are approximately 80 nucleotides in length. Their secondary structure includes four short double-helical elements and three loops (D, anti-codon, and T loops). The record is from RNAcentral. Lineage: Bacteria; Pseudomonadati; Bacteroidota; Bacteroidia; Bacteroidales; Paludibacteraceae.
CGCGGGAUAGUGUAGAGGUAACACGCAAGCCCCAUCAACUUGAACCGUAGGUUCGAUUCCUGCUCCCGCAA